UAUAUUAUACGUGCGAGAUUCGAAUAAAUCGCGCGCGUAAAAAUGCACGAGAUAAUGAGAGGAAAAAAAAACAAAGAGACUACGAAACGAGAUUGUAAUUUUUGUAAUUUAAUACCAAGUAGAUAAUAAGGAACACAAACGCGCGGAUACACUUACAGACACAUUCUUGAUUAACUCCUACGAGUAAUGGUGCGAACAAGAGUGUGUUUGUAUGUUAAACGUCAUUAUAUAAAUAAGUGAAUUUAUAUUUUGUUACUAUAAAUAUGUAUCACGUUGUAAUAUAAUAGAUACGUAAGCGUUCUAGCAUAUAUCUAUUAAUCGAAAAAUGCUCUAACGUGUAAUAUGUAUAUCGAAGACGAGUCGACGAGAAGAGUUUUUCUUUUUCCAUUUUGUUUUUUUUUCUUUUUUUUUUUUUUUUUUUUUUGUUUCUUUCAAUUUUAAUAUACUUAUCACUUAAAGCUUUGUAUACAUCGUUCAUUGUACAUGCAUGCAUACAUAUAUAGAAUAUAAUACGAUAAGAACGAUCGAUAAACGUAAUCAAUAAUGAGAACGAGAUGUCAGUCGUUCUAUCUUGAAUCGUUUCUCGAGUCCAUUGACCCGAUAAGAUUAUAAGAAUUUGCAUAAAAUAUUGCCCUUUCUUCGCUAGUAUAUAUAUAUAUAUAUUAUUUUAUAUAUAUAUAUAAAAUAAUAUAUAUAUAUAUAUAUAUAUAUAUAUAUAUAUAUAAAAUAACAGAAGAGAAGAACAAAACAAAAUUUUCAAGUUGAUGGAGAACGAGCAGCGAAGUCACGCAAUUGAAUGGAACGAUGUCCAAUAAUUGCGCACGAAGUUCUUUACAUCAAUAAAAGAUAUAUAUGUACAUACAUAACACACAAAUACAUAUACAUAAAUAUAUAGUAAAUAGACUUCAUUCUUAUAAUUUCGUCUGGUUCGAUCGUGAAAUUCGUAAAUAUUAUCUAUAAGAAAAAAAAAAAAAAGAAAAAAAAAAUAGAAAUGAAAAAAAAAAGAAUGAACCGUAAUGUACAUUGAACGAUGUCUAUGACGCCACUUUUUAUUUUUACCUUGUUAAAACUCUUUAACAGAUAAUUGUUUUCCCUUUUUUUUUUUUUUUUAUUAAUAAAAUAUAUUUCAUUAAAGAUAGUCAAUUAUGAUAACGCACAUGUGUCUAGGAAGAUUAUUAUACAACGUCGUGGUACAAAGGUAUUACCCGAUACAUUUUUUCUUUGAAGA
Molecule: long non-coding RNA, 1228 nt
Organism: Vespa velutina
Lineage: Eukaryota; Metazoa; Arthropoda; Insecta; Hymenoptera; Vespidae
Exons: 2
Source: RefSeq, a predicted model, not a curated record